Molecule: ribosomal RNA, 250 nt
Filed under: uncultured bacterium
Lineage: Bacteria
Description: partial 16S ribosomal RNA
Rfam family: Bacterial small subunit ribosomal RNA
Source: RNAcentral
UACGUAGGCAGCAAGCGUUGUUCGGAAUUACUGGGCGUAAAGAGUGUGUAGGUGGUGCUCUAAGUUUGGUGUGAAAUCUCCCGGCUUAACUGGGAGGGUGCGCCGAAUACUGGAGUGCUCGAGGGUGGGAGAGGCAAGCGGAAUUCCUGGUGUAGCGGUGAAAUGCGUAGAUAUCAGGAGGAACACCUGUGGUGUAGACAGCUUGCUGGACCAUUUCUGACACUGAGACACGAAAGCGUGGGUAGCAAAC